AGAAUCCAUGGCACCUGAAUCCAGAGGAUAAUUCUUUCAGUCUGAAGGAACAUUUCUUUAAAGACAUUCAGAAGGUUGGCCUGCUUACAGUGAAAUAGAUGGAGUUUGGAGAUAAUACUUUCUAGGGAUUCUGCAGGGUCUGGGUGUGGCCCUCAUUAUGACCUCGCUGGUGAUGUUGGCUCUAAUAAGUGCUGGUGUCACAAAGGGCUCUUGCGCGGCUCUCCUAUAAAAGCCGGGCAGCCGCCCCCAGCCCUCAGCCAGAACCACCAUGGCCCGCUACCGCCGGCGCUCCCGCAGGAGCCGCAGCCGGAGCCGCAGCCGCCGCCGCUCCCGCCGUCGGGGUGCGCGGAGGAGGCGGCGGGCUGGAUCCCGCCGCUCGAGAUACCGCCGGCGCCGCCGGGGCGGCAGGAGGCGCAGACGCCGCUGAGCCGAGCUCAGGGCCUCGGCCUUACAGAGCCAGAGCAACCAGAGCGCGGCCCUGACGCGGGCCUGGCUCUGCCAAUAAAGCACAGCAAGCUCC
Molecule: long non-coding RNA, 520 nt
Organism: Pipra filicauda (Wire-tailed manakin)
Lineage: Eukaryota; Metazoa; Chordata; Aves; Passeriformes; Pipridae
Exons: 2
Source: RefSeq, a predicted model, not a curated record